GCAGGGCUGAAGACUGCGGUUUUUUUUAAUCAGUGGUUUACAUAGCCAGACACCAGGCAGAAAAGAAAAGAGUGGUCUUCCCUUUAAAGUGGUUAUAAUCAUGUGCUAAGUUUCCCCCCCCCCCCCAUAACAUAUCAUUAUUCAAGGGAAAUACAAA
Molecule: small nucleolar RNA, 157 nt
Filed under: Bos indicus x Bos taurus (hybrid cattle)
Lineage: Eukaryota; Metazoa; Chordata; Mammalia; Artiodactyla; Bovidae
Description: Small nucleolar RNA SNORA15 (ENSBIXG00005005092.1)
Source: RNAcentral